GAGAAUCUAGUUUAUUUUAAAAAUAAAAGCUUGUCAUGCUUUUGAUAUCAGUUACCUGAUGUUUCUCU
This 68-nucleotide transfer RNA is filed under the name Eurycercus lamellatus. Its description in RNAcentral is "tRNA-Asp". Lineage: Eukaryota; Metazoa; Arthropoda; Branchiopoda; Diplostraca; Eurycercidae. The record is from RNAcentral.